Molecule: signal recognition particle RNA, 221 nt
Filed under: bovine gut metagenome
Description: Bacterial large signal recognition particle RNA
Rfam family: Bacterial large signal recognition particle RNA
About the family: The signal recognition particle (SRP) is a universally conserved ribonucleoprotein involved in the co-translational targeting of proteins to membranes.
Source: RNAcentral
AGCCGGGGAAGCAGCGGUUCCUUGUACCUGAAAUCCGCUAUAGCAGGGGUGAUAUCCGGCAGAGGGUGAGUUUGUAAUGUAGCCGCCCUUCAGGGUGCGUGUUGAGAUUCGGGUCUUGCGCAACAGGGCGCUGUGAAUCGUGUCAGGCCAGGAAUGGAGCAGCACUAAGCAGAUGACUUUGUGUGCCGCAAGGGCGCCUGGGUUGAGCGCAUUUUGCAGGU